CCUACGGGGGGCAGCAGUGGGGAAUAUUGGGCAAUGGGCGCAAGCCUGACCCAGCAACGCCGCGUGAAGGAAGAAGGCUUUCGGGUUGUAAACUUCUUUUCUGAGGGACGAAGAAAGUGACGGUACCUCAGGAAUGAGCCACGGCUAACUACGUGCCAGCAGCCGCGGUAAUACGUGGGUCGCAAGCGUUAUCCGGAUUUAUUGGGUGUAAAGGGCGUGUAGGCGGGAAAGCACGUCAGAUGUGAAAACUCAGGGCUCAACCCUGAGCCUGCAUUUGAAACUGUUUGUCUUGAGUGCUGGAGAGGCAAGCGGAAUUCGGGGUGGAGCGGUGAAAUGCGUAGAUAUACGGAGGAACACCAGUGGCGAAGGCGGAUUGCCGGACAGUAACUGACGCUGAGGCGCGAAAGCGUGGGGAGCAAACAGGAUUAGAUACCCGAGUAGUC
Molecule: ribosomal RNA, 443 nt
Filed under: uncultured bacterium
Lineage: Bacteria
Description: partial 16S ribosomal RNA
Rfam family: Bacterial small subunit ribosomal RNA
Source: RNAcentral